RNAcentral lists this ribosomal RNA (254 nucleotides) under uncultured bacterium. Its description in RNAcentral is "partial 16S ribosomal RNA". It matches the Rfam family "Bacterial small subunit ribosomal RNA", at positions 524 to 776 of the family's 1533-position model. The record is from RNAcentral.
UACGUAGGUGGCUAGCGUUGUCCGGAUUUACUGGGCGUAAAGGGCGCGUAGGCGGCCAGCACAAGUCAGUUGUGAAAUCUCCGAGCUUAACUCGGAAAGGUCAACUGAUACUGUGCGGCUAGAGUGCGGAAGGGGCAACUGGAAUUCUUGGUGUAGCGGUGAAAUGCGUAGAUAUCAAGAGGAACACCUGCGGCGAAGGCGGGUUGCUGGGCCGACACUGACGCUGAGGCGCGAAAGCCAGGGGAGCGAACGGG